Molecule: long non-coding RNA, 943 nt
Organism: Passer domesticus (house sparrow)
Lineage: Eukaryota; Metazoa; Chordata; Aves; Passeriformes; Passeridae
Exons: 8
Source: RefSeq, a predicted model, not a curated record
GAGGAUCAGUGUGAAAUUCAACUGGGAAUCUAAAAUAUUGUGCCUCUCUUCUCCCAGUAUAUUAAGAAAAUGGUGGUAUGGAGAUAACACCUACAAAGUCACUUCACACACAUAAAUGCAUAUUUUUCCAUAUUUCAAGCAAAAUAAAUGCACAACUGUCUGCACCAGUCCAUGGAGAGAGAAGUGUAAGAUCUUGGAGCUGUACAAUGGAACUUGCUUGCCAGAUUAUUUUUUUUACAGACAGCAGAAACAGGCAAAUAAGGCCAAGAUUAAAAUUUUAACAGCUCUUCAUCCUCAGAGAAUAACAGCAUUGUCUGAGCUGGAAGGGACCCAGAAGGACCAUCAAGUCCAACUCUUAAAUGAAAGAUCCAUACAAGAAUCAAACCCACAACCCUGGCAUUAUUAUUCCUGGCAGUCUGUUCUCCAGGCCUGGAGGUUCAAAAGGGUAACAGAAAAAUCUGGAGAAAUGCCAACAAGAGAGAACAAGGGAAAUCCUCACUACAGUGUACCAAUGAAAAGAAAAAAUGUUUCUAUAAUUUCCUUAUAAUACAGUUUCUAUACAGUACUGAGAGGCUACUUACGUGAUCAGAACAGAGAAAGACCCUUUCCAUCCAUGCAACAGUAUAGGAGGGUCAAGUUGGAACAGCUCCAGUGGUAAGGCUGUGGCAGUCAUCCUGCAAUGAGCACAGUUGGGGGAAACCUGCUGCCUGUACCUUCAACCACAUUUCCUCACCAUCUCCUUGCUGAUCUCCGCUCAUUUCUGGAGUGCAGGCAGACUUUUCCCCACUAGAGGUACCAGCAGAGCAUGCUGAUAAUUGUUAUUUCCUGUAUUUGCCAGAAAAUCAAGCCUAACUUUGUGUUGUGGGAGACACACUGGAAUGAAUCUCUGUGUAUCAUUUGCCAGCCCUCAGAUGAGCAACUGGAAAUAAAAGCAUGGCUGUAC